GAUGAACGCUGGCGGCGUGCCUAAUACAUGCAAGUCGAGCGGAGAAUGUAGCAAUACGUUCUUAGCGGCGAACGGGUGAGUAACGCGUUGGUGACCUGCCCCGAAGAGGGGGAUAACAGUUCGAAAGGACUGCUAAUACCCCAUGUUAUCAUAAGGAUUAGAUGCCUUAUGAUUAAAGGAGAAAUCCGCUUUGGGAGGGACCUGCGUCCCAUCAGCUAGUUGGUAGGGUUACGGCCUACCAAGGCUAUGACGGGUAGGGGACCUGAGAGGGUGGCCCCCCA
Molecule: ribosomal RNA, 281 nt
Filed under: uncultured Chloroflexota bacterium
Lineage: Bacteria; Bacillati; Chloroflexota
Description: uncultured Chloroflexi bacterium partial 16S ribosomal RNA
Rfam family: Bacterial small subunit ribosomal RNA
Source: RNAcentral